UGGAAUGGCUUGGAGAACUGGGCAGCAAC
Molecule: non-coding RNA, 29 nt
Filed under: Homo sapiens (human)
Lineage: Eukaryota; Metazoa; Chordata; Mammalia; Primates; Hominidae
Source: RNAcentral